GGGAAGGAACCACAGGGAUUGCCUCAGUAACGGCGAGUGAAGCGGCAACAGCUCAAAUUUGAAAUCUGGCCUUCUGGUCCGAGUUGUAAUUUGUAGAGGAUGUUUCGAACGUGGUCCGGUCUAAGUUUCUUGGAACAGAACGUCAUAGAGGGUGAGAAUCCCGUAUGCGACUGGGUGCCUAAGUUCAUGUGAAGCUCCUUCGACGAGUCGAGUUGUUUGGGAAUGCAGCUCAAAAUGGGUGGUAAAUUUCAUCUAAAGCUAAAUAUUGGCCAGAGACCGAUAGCGCACAAGUAGAGUGAUCGAAAGAUGAAAAGCACUUUGGAAAGAGAGUUAAACAGUACGUGAAAUUGUUGAAAGGGAAGCGCUUGCAACCAGACUUGCAUGUAGUUGAUCAUCCGGUGUUCUCACCGGUGCACUCGAUUAUGUUCAGGCCAGCAUCGGUUUCGGUGGUUAGAUAAAGGCCUUGGGAAUGUAGCUUCUUUCGGGGAGUGUUAUAGCCCUCGGUGCAAUGUAGCCUACCGGGACCGAGGACCGCGCUUCGGCUAGGAUGCUGGCGUAAUGGUUGUAAGCGACCCGUCUUGAAACACGGACCAAGGAGUCUAACAUUUAUGCGAGUGUUUGGGUGUAAAACCCAUACGCGUAAUGAAAGUGAACGGAGGUGAGAACCCUUAAGGGUGCAUCAUCGACCGAUCCUGAUGUCUUCGGAUGGAUUUGAGUAAGAGCAUAACUGUUGGGACCCGAAAGAUGGUGAACUAUGCCUGAAUAGGGUGAAGCCAGAGGAAACUCUGGUGGAGGCUCGCAGCGGUUCUGACGUGCAAAUCGAUCGUCAAAUUUGGGUAUAGGGGGCGAAAGACUAAUCGAACCAUUCAAAGAGAGACAUUAAAAUCCAA
RNAcentral lists this ribosomal RNA (890 nucleotides) under Alatospora pulchella. RNAcentral describes it as "eukaryotic LSU rRNA". It matches the Rfam family "Eukaryotic large subunit ribosomal RNA", at positions 56 to 965 of the family's 3401-position model. The record is from RNAcentral. Lineage: Eukaryota; Fungi; Ascomycota; Leotiomycetes; Leotiales; Leotiaceae.